Molecule: long non-coding RNA, 732 nt
Organism: Homo sapiens (human)
Lineage: Eukaryota; Metazoa; Chordata; Mammalia; Primates; Hominidae
Exons: 2
Source: RefSeq, a predicted model, not a curated record
GUGCUCUCGUGGCGACCAGACCUACAAGAAGCACCCUUCUGCAGAAGCAAAUUUGCCUUGCUGAGAGAUCCUUUGUCUCAGUGCUGGUUCUUCUUUGCAGCACUGAGCAUUUGUUUCCAACAAAUUUGGUGGCCCAUAUGGGGACCUCAUUCUCCUCCGGGAAAGGGUCUCUGAUCACUUCUCAUGAGGAGACGCAUCCCGCUAACUCAUUGCAGUGGCCUCAAGGGUAAAGAAUCGGGACCCACCCAGUGCAACCAAUAAACCCAGACUCUUAGCAACACAGGAAGAAAAGGCCUACAGUUACUGUGGUGAGCAGGUAACGCUAUGCACAGACCAAGGUCUCUUAGCACAGGUGCUGCCCCUGGAAUUCCCAGAACAUCAACAUCAGCUCCCGUCCUCAUCAAAGGGUGGAAAAAAGGAAAGCUUGAACCAGCUUGGGAAGGACCUUAUCUAGUGCUCCUGGCCACUGAAACUGCAUCCGAACAGCAAAAAAAGGAUGAACUCAUCAUACUCGAGUGAAAAAACAUCACCACCUCCGGAGUCACGGGCUACUGUUCCAGGGGAAAGUGCUACCUAACUAAAGCUAAGAAAAACCCAACCCUCCUCAUGAAGAGGAGACCCUGAAGGAUCUCCAAAACCAAAGAAAGUUAGCCUCUAUCAAUAAGUACCUUUGCCCCUCCAAAAUAAACAAAACUGCCUAUAAUAAUAAAACUUGUACCAGAUGUGCACAAA